This 279-nucleotide long non-coding RNA is filed under the name Phoenix dactylifera (date palm). RNAcentral's name for it is "long non-coding RNA (PDAC_LNC015120)". Lineage: Eukaryota; Viridiplantae; Streptophyta; Magnoliopsida; Arecales; Arecaceae. The record is from RNAcentral.
GGCUUUUUAGCUCAUCCUCUCCCCUCGUACUCCUCGUCGAGUUUCGGAGCCCGGCCACGAAAAAUAAAUCAGAAAAAGAUCGUGUGGGGGAGGGCUCGCAACUCCGGCGAUGAGAUGACCGCCCUCGUCGCCGACUCGCCCCCGCUCGAGCUGGCUCCCAUCGACUAUCCUUAGCCCCACCUCCUUCGCUCUGCAGCCCGGUCACCCUCACCGGAGCGGUGAGCUGCCAGACAGCUUCGCCGGAGAGGUCGCUUAAGGUUCCGCGGCGAGAUCUCCGAG